UCCGCAGUAGCUCAUCUGGUCCAUUUCUCUGUCCAGACGUGGAUACGAGACGAUCUGGGUUCGAAUCCCAGCUGCGGAA
This 79-nucleotide transfer RNA is filed under the name Sphenostylis stenocarpa. Its description in RNAcentral is "tRNA gene-AYBTSS11_LOCUS8528". It matches the Rfam family "tRNA". From Rfam's summary of the family: Transfer RNA (tRNA) molecules are approximately 80 nucleotides in length. Their secondary structure includes four short double-helical elements and three loops (D, anti-codon, and T loops). Lineage: Eukaryota; Viridiplantae; Streptophyta; Magnoliopsida; Fabales; Fabaceae. The record is from RNAcentral.